AACGAACGCUGGCGGCAGGCCUAACACAUGCAAGUCGAGCGAGGACUUCGGUUCUAGCGGCGGACGGGUGAGUAACGCGUGGGAAUGUGCCCUUCUCUACGGAAUAGCCCUGGGAAACUGGGAGUAAUACCGUAUACGCCCUUUUCGGGAAAGAUUUACCGGUGAAGGAUCAGCCCGCGUUGGAUUAGGUAGUUGGUGGGGUAAUGGCCUACCAAGCCGACGAUCCAUAGCUGGUUUGAUAGGAUGAUCAGCCACACUGGUACUGAGACACGGCCCAGACUCCUACGGGAUGCAGCAGUGGGGAAUCUUAGACAAUGGGGGCGACCCUAGUCUAGCCAUGCCGCGUGAGUGAUGAAGGCCUUAGGGUUGUAAAGCUCUUUCAGCUGGGAAGAUAGUGACGGUACCAGCAGAAGAAGCCCCGGCUAACUCCGUG
RNAcentral lists this ribosomal RNA (433 nucleotides) under uncultured bacterium. RNAcentral's name for it is "partial 16S ribosomal RNA". It matches the Rfam family "Bacterial small subunit ribosomal RNA", at positions 29 to 507 of the family's 1533-position model. The record is from RNAcentral.